This 425-nucleotide ribosomal RNA is filed under the name uncultured Oscillospiraceae bacterium. RNAcentral's name for it is "bacterial SSU rRNA". It matches the Rfam family "Bacterial small subunit ribosomal RNA", at positions 355 to 794 of the family's 1533-position model. Lineage: Bacteria; Bacillati; Bacillota; Clostridia; Eubacteriales; Oscillospiraceae. The record is from RNAcentral.
UGGGGAAUAUUGGGCAAUGGGGGAAACCCUGACCCAGCAACGCCGCGUGAAGGAAGAAGGCCCUCGGGUUGUAAACUUCUUUUACCAGGGACGAAGGACGUGACGGUACCUGGAGAAAAAGCAACGGCUAACUACGUGCCAGCAGCCGCGGUAAUACGUAGGUUGCAAGCGUUGUCCGGAUUUACUGGGUGUAAAGGGCGUGUAGGCGGAGAUGCAAGUUGGGAGUGAAAUCCCGGGGCUCAACCCCGGAACUGCUUUCAAAACUGUAUCCCUUGAGUGUCGGAGAGGCAAGCGGAAUUCCUAGUGUAGCGGUGAAAUGCGUAGAUAUUAGGAGGAACACCAGUGGCGAAGGCGGCUCUCUGGUCUGCAACUGACGCUGAGGCUCGAAAGCAUGGGUAGCGAACAGGAUUAGAUACCCUGGUAGU